Molecule: non-coding RNA, 219 nt
Organism: Cinara cedri
Lineage: Eukaryota; Metazoa; Arthropoda; Insecta; Hemiptera; Aphididae
Source: the annotation of a GenBank genome assembly
GCCUCGAUAGAACCCGUUUAAGGCUCUCUAAGUCGCUCUCCUAGGGACCCGUUAAAAAAAGCGUAUUAAGCAAGAAAACCAAUCCAAAAUGCAUUUCUUUUGCUAUUUUUUCUGUCACUCUUUUUAUCGUACAUUAUUAAAAUGUUCAACUUGUCAGUAAACAGAACGAGUCUUUCGUUUAGUUCCUAGAAAAUCAGUCAAGAUUAAAAAUUAAACUCG